RNAcentral lists this ribosomal RNA (1382 nucleotides) under uncultured bacterium. RNAcentral describes it as "partial 16S ribosomal RNA". It matches the Rfam family "Bacterial small subunit ribosomal RNA", at positions 26 to 1401 of the family's 1533-position model. The record is from RNAcentral.
GGAUGAACGCCUAACUCGCCGCCUAACACCUGCAAUCCGAGCGCGAUCUGUUGGUAAUCUAGCUAACCGACUAUCAGAGCGGCGUACGGGCGCAGAACAUGUGUGCAAUCUACCCUUAUCAACGGGAUAUCCCAAACAAAUCUGGAUUAAUACCCUAUAACAUAUGGGAUGGCAUCAUUUCGUAUUAAAAGCUACGGCGGAUAACGAUGAUCACGCACAAUAUUACCUAGUUGGUAACGUAACGGCUUACCAAGGCGACGAUUCUUUACGGGGCCUGAGAGGGUGAUCCCCCACGCUAGGACUGACACACUCCCCAGACUCCUACUGGAGGCAGCAGUGAGGAAUAUUGGACAAUGGGUGGAAGCCUGAUCCAGCCAUCCCCCCUGCCCGACAACUGCCCUAUGGGUUGUAAGCUGCUUUUAUAUCAGGAUAAACCUACUCUCGUGAGAGUAGCUGAAGGUACUAUAUGAAUAAGCACCGGCUAACUCCGUGCCAGCAGCCGCGGUAAUACGGAGGGUGCAAGCGUUAUCCGGAUUUAUUGAGUUUAAAGGGUCCGUAGGUGGGCUGAUAAGUCAGCGGUGAAAUCCUGCAACUUAACUGUAGAAGUGCCGUUGAUACUGUUAGUCUUGAGUGUAUUUGAAGUGGCUGGAAUAAGUAGUGUAGCGGUGAAAUGCAUAGAUAUUACUUAGAACACCAAUUGCGAAGGCAGGUCAUUAAGAUACAACUGACGUUGAGGGAAGAAAGCGUGGGGAGGGAACAGGAUAAGAUACAAUGGUAGUCCAGGCUGUAAACGAUGCUAACUAGGUGAUGGUUUGUAUGAAUGAGAGAUUAAGCGAAAGAGAUAAGUUAGCCACCGGGGGAGUACGCUCGCAAGAGUGAAAGUCAAAGGAAUAGACGGGGGCCCGCACAAGCGGAGGAUUAUGUGGGUUAAUUCGAUGAUACGAGAGGAACAUAACCAAGAGGCAAAUGGGAAUCGAGAGGUGUAGAAAUAUGGUGUUUGUGGGACAAUUGUAAAGGUGCUGAAUGGUGGUUGUCAGAUGGGGCCGGGAGGUGUUAGGGUAAGUCCGGGAACGAGCGCAACCCCAGGCAGGAGACGCGAUGAUGCAGUGGGAGACCAUAACGAGACCGCCAGGGCAAGCGGGAGGGAGGCGGUGGAGACGCAAUAUCAUCACGGCCCAUAAUCACUGGCCCGCGCGAGUGGUCGUAUGGCCGAGUACGAAGGGCGUGUUACUAUGUUAUAGAUGAGUAUCUGGUAAGUCUGGUCUCGGAUUAGUCUUGGAGUUUGCCGACUAGUCUAUAUGGCGAGGUAGUCGUUAGUAUUCGAGCCGCAGGCGUGGAGCAGUGGGUAAUUGCUCGUGCCGUGGCACACACCGCCCGUCUAG